RNAcentral lists this ribosomal RNA (431 nucleotides) under uncultured bacterium. RNAcentral's name for it is "partial 16S ribosomal RNA". It matches the Rfam family "Bacterial small subunit ribosomal RNA", at positions 29 to 507 of the family's 1533-position model. The record is from RNAcentral.
AACGAACGCUGGCGGCAGGCUUAACACAUGCAAGUCGAGCGCCCCGCAAGGGGAGCGGCAGACGGGUGAGUAACGCGUGGGAACGUACCUUUUGGUUCGGAACAACUCCGGGAAACUGGAGCUAAUACCGGAUAAGCCCUAACGGGGAAAGAUUUAUCGCCGAAAGAUCGGCCCGCGUCUGAUUUGCUAGUUGGUGAGGUAACGGCUCACCAAGGCGACGAUCAGUAGCUGGUCUGAGAGGAUGAUCAGCCACACUGGGACUGAGACACGGCCCAGACUCCUACGGGAAGCAGCAGUGGGGAAUAUUGGACAAUGGGCGCAAGCCUGAUCCAGCCAUGCCGCGUGAGUGAUGAAGGCCUUAGGGUUGUAAAGCUCUUUUGUCCGGGAAGAUAAUGACGGUACCGGAAGAAUAAGCCCCGGCUAACUUCGUG